Rhincodon typus (whale shark) is the source of this 374-nucleotide long non-coding RNA. RefSeq lists it as uncharacterized. The transcript is spliced from 3 exons. Lineage: Eukaryota; Metazoa; Chordata; Chondrichthyes; Orectolobiformes; Rhincodontidae. The record is from RefSeq and is a predicted model, not a curated record.
UUCAAAACUUAAGACACUCAGUGUGAAAUGUGAAACAGAGUUGCAGACUGUGUGCUCUGCUUAUGGGAGAGGGUGUGUGACACUAAUAAACGUAUUAAUUAUCUCACAUCCAUACUGAUGACCGAGAGAGACAUAUCAGGGCUGCUGAGAAAUGGGCCUCAACAAGAGGGUACUGAACAGGAAAAGGGCGUCACUGGAUAGGCCAGCAUUUAUCACCCACCCUUAGGGCAUUUAAGAAUCAACCACACUGCUGUGGGUCUGGAGUCACAUACAGACCAAACCAGGUUUAGAAGUAAAGAACCAGUGAAGAACCAGUGAUUUCUGAAGAAGGAUCCCGACCCGAAACAUCAACUUUCCUGCUCCUCUGAUGCUGC